GAUGAACGCUGGCGGCGUGCCUAAUACAUGCAAGUCGAGCGAACAGACGAGGAGCUUGCUCCUCUGACGUUAGCGGCGGACGGGUGAGUAACACGUGGAUAACCUACCUAUAAGACUGGGAUAACUUCGGGAAACCGGAGCUAAUACCGGAUAAUAUAUUGAACCGCAUGGUUCAAUAGUGAAAGACGCUUUUGCUGUCACUUAUAGAUGGAUCCGCGCCGCAUUAGCUAGUUGGUAAGGUAACGGCUUACCAAGGCAACGAUGCGUAGCCGACCUGAGAGGGUGAUCGGCCACACUGGAACGGAGACACGGUCCAGACUCCUACGGGAGGCAGCAGUAGGGAAUCUUCCGCAAUGGGCGAAAGCCUGACGGAGCAACGCCGCGUGAGUGAUGAAGGUCUUCGGAUCGUAAAACUCUGUUAUUAGGGAAGAACAAAUGUGUAAGUAACUAUGCACGUCUUGACGGUACCUAAUCAGAAAGCCACGGCUAACUACGUG
RNAcentral lists this ribosomal RNA (497 nucleotides) under uncultured bacterium. RNAcentral's name for it is "partial 16S ribosomal RNA". It matches the Rfam family "Bacterial small subunit ribosomal RNA", at positions 28 to 507 of the family's 1533-position model. The record is from RNAcentral.